Molecule: ribosomal RNA, 756 nt
Filed under: uncultured bacterium
Lineage: Bacteria
Description: bacterial SSU rRNA
Rfam family: Bacterial small subunit ribosomal RNA
Source: RNAcentral
AGAGUUUGAUCAUGGCUCAGAAUCAACGCUGGCGGCGUGCCUAACACAUGCAAGUCGAACGAGAAAGUGGAGCAAUCCAUGAGUACAGUGGCGUACGGGUGAGUAACACGUGGGUGAUCUACCUCUUAGUGAGGAAUAACCCUGGGAAACCGGGGCUAAUACCGCAUAAGCCUGAGAAGGGAAAGCAGCAAUGCGCUGAGAGAGGAGCCCGCGGCCGAUUAGCUAGUUGGUGAGGUAAAAGCCCACCAAGGCAGAGAUCGGUAGCCGGCCUGAGAGGGCACACGGCCACACUGGCACUGAAACACGGGCCAGACUCCUACGGGAGGCAGCAGUGGGGAAUCUUGCACAAUGGAGGAAACUCUGAUGCAGCGACGCCGCGUGAGCGAUGAAGCCCUUCGGGGUGUAAAGCUCUUUCGACGGGAACGAUAAUGACGGUACCCGGAGAAGAAGCUGCGGCUAACUACGUGCCAGCAGCCGCGGUAAUACGUAGGCAGCAAGCGUUGUUCGGAAUUACUGGGCGUAAAGAGUGUGUAGGCGGUUCUCUAUGUUCGGUGUGAAAUCUCCCGGCUUAACUGGGAGGGUGCGCCGAAAACUGGAGGGCUUGAGUAUGGGAGAGGAAAGCGGAAUUCCUGGUGUAGCGGUGAAAUGCGUAGAUAUCAGGAGGAACACCUGCGGUGUAGACGGCUUUCUGGACCAUCACUGACGCUGAGACACGAAAGCGUGGGUAGCAAACAGGAUUAGAUACCCUAGUAGUCC